CUUGGUGACUAUAGCAUCAUGGACCCACCUGAUUCCAUUCCGAACUCAGAAGUGAAACAUGGUAGCGCUGAUGGUAGUGUAGGGAUUCCCUAUGUGAGAGUAAGACAUUACCAGGA
This 116-nucleotide ribosomal RNA is filed under the name Vibrio cyclitrophicus. The record is from RNAcentral. Lineage: Bacteria; Pseudomonadati; Pseudomonadota; Gammaproteobacteria; Vibrionales; Vibrionaceae. RNAcentral also lists the same sequence under 2 other names.